Molecule: ribosomal RNA, 497 nt
Filed under: uncultured bacterium
Lineage: Bacteria
Description: partial 16S ribosomal RNA
Rfam family: Bacterial small subunit ribosomal RNA
Source: RNAcentral
GAUGAACGCUGGCGGCGUGCCUAAUACAUGCAAGUCGAGCGAACAGAUGAGGAGCUUGCUCCUCUGACGUUAGCGGCGGACGGGUGAGUAACACGUGGAUAACCUACCUAUAAGACUGGGAUAACUUCGGGAAACCGGAGCUAAUACCGGAUAAUAUAUUGAACCGCAUGGUUCAAUAGUGAAAGACGGUUUUACUGUCACUUAUAGAUGGAUCCGCGCCGCAUUAGCUAGUUGGUAAGGUAACGGCUUACCAAGGCAACGAUGCGUAGCCGACCUGAGAGGGUGAUCGGCCACACUGGAACUGAGACACGGUCCAGACUCCUACGGGAGGCAGCAGUAGGGAAUCUUACGCAAUGGGCGAAAGCCUGACGGAGCAACGCCGCGUGAGUGAUGAAGGUCUUCGGAUCGUAAAACUCUGUUAUUAGGGAAGAACAAAUGUGUAAGUAACUAUGCACGUCUUGACGGUACCUAAUCAGAAAGCCACGGCUAACUACGUG